GACGAACGCUGGCGGCGUGCUUAACACAUGCAAGUCGAACGGAAAGGCCCUGCUUUUGUGGGGUGCUCGAGUGGCGAACGGGUGAGUAACACGUGAGUAACCUGCCCUUGACUUUGGGAUAACUUCAGGAAACUGGGGCUAAUACCGGAUAGGAGCUCCUGCUGCAUGGUGGGGGUUGGAAAGUUUCGGCGGUUGGGGAUGGACUCGCGGCUUAUCAGCUUGUUGGUGGGGUAGUGGCUUACCAAGGCUUUGACGGGUAGCCGGCCUGAGAGGGUGACCGGCCACAUUGGGACUGAGAUACGGCCCAGACUCCUACGGGAGGCAGCAGUGGGGAAUAUUGCACAAUAGGCGGAAGCCUGAUGCAGCAACGCCGCGUGCGGGAUGACGGCCUUCGGGUUGUAAACCGCUUUCGCCUGUGACGAAGCGUGAGUGACGGUAAUGGGUAAAGGAGCACCGGCUAACUAC
Molecule: ribosomal RNA, 465 nt
Filed under: uncultured bacterium
Lineage: Bacteria
Description: partial 16S ribosomal RNA
Rfam family: Bacterial small subunit ribosomal RNA
Source: RNAcentral